GAUGAACGCUAGCUACAGGCUUAACACAUGCAAGUCGAGGGGCAGCAUGAUUGAAGCUUGCUUCCAUCGAUGGCGACCGGCGCACGGGUGAGUAACACGUAUCCAACCUGCCGAUAACUCGGGGAUAGCCUUUCGAAAGAAAGAUUAAUACCCGAUAGUAUAGUAUUUCCGCAUGGUUUCACUAUUAAAGAACUUCGGUUAUCGAUGGGGAUGCGUUCCAUUAGAUAGUUGGCGGGGUAACGGCCCACCAAGUCAACGAUGGAUAGGGGUUCUGAGAGGAAGGUCCCCCACAUUGGAACUGAGACACGGUCCAAACUCCUACGGGAGGCAGCAGUGAGGAAUAUUGGUCAAUGGACGAGAGUCUGAACCAGCCAAGUAGCGUGAAGGAUGACUGCCCUAUGGGUUGUAAACUUCUUUUAUACGGGAAUAAAGUGGAGUAUGCAUACUCCUUUGUAUGUACCGUAUGAAUAAGGAUCGGCUAACUCCGUG
Molecule: ribosomal RNA, 489 nt
Filed under: uncultured bacterium
Lineage: Bacteria
Description: partial 16S ribosomal RNA
Rfam family: Bacterial small subunit ribosomal RNA
Source: RNAcentral